UAAGUUAAGGAUAAAAUACUGUAAUCCUAUGAUAUAACAGGCUGCUUUUUUUUCAUGGGGGGUUGGAGGAGGGGAUACAUUAUAGCUACAGGUAUAAUCAGAUGCUAUUUUCGUUUAAAAUCACCUAAUACAGUACACCUUUAUAUUAAGUCAAGGUAAAACACUAUUAUCCUAUGUAUAAAAGGCUGCUUUUUUUCUUUUUUAGGGGGGUUGGAGGAGGGGAAGGUGUUGCUCAAGGUUAAAUCAGAUUUUCAUUUCAAAAUUGUAUAAUGCAGUAAAUUUUCAUAUUAAGUUAAGGAUAAACACUGCAAUUCCAUGAUAUGGCAGGCUUUUUUAUCCUUUGUAGAGGGGUUGGAAGAGGGGAUACAUGAAGCUAAAGGUUAAAUCAGAUUUUAUUUCUUUUUAAAAACAUGUAAUACAGUACACCUUUACAUUAGGUCAAGGUAAAACACUGUAAUCCCACAAUAUAACAGGCUGGUUUUUUUUCUUUUUUAAGGGGGUAGGAGGAGGGGAAGGUGUUGCUCAAGGUUAAAUCAGAUGUGUUUUUUUUUUCAUUUCAAAAUUGUGUAAUACAGUGAGUACACCUCUACAUUAAGUCAAGGUAAAACACAGCAAUCCCAUGAUAUAACAGGCUGCUUUGUUUUCUUUUUUAGGGGGGUGGUUACGUAGGGAGGGGGUUGCGCUCAAGGUUAAAUUAGAUGUGUUUUUUUUUUAUUUUAUUAAAAUUGUGUAAUACAGUUCACCUCUACAUUAAGCCAAGGUAAAACACAGCAAUCCCAUGAUAUAACAGGCUGCUUUGUUUUCUUUUUUAGGGGGGUGGUUACGUAGGGAGGGGGGUUGCGCUCAAAGUUAAAUUAGAUGUGGUUUUUUUUUUAUUUUAAUAAAAUUGUGUAAUACAGUACACCUCUACAUUAAGUCAAGGUAAAACACAGCAAUCCCAUUAUAUAACAGGCUGCUUUUU
Molecule: long non-coding RNA, 961 nt
Filed under: Mytilus galloprovincialis (Mediterranean mussel)
Lineage: Eukaryota; Metazoa; Mollusca; Bivalvia; Mytilida; Mytilidae
Source: RNAcentral